GGAAAAGAAACUAACAAGGAUUCCCCUAGUAACUGCGAGUGAAGCGGGAAAAGCUCAAAUUUAAAAUCUGGCGGUCUUUGGCCGUCCGAGUUGUAGUCUGGAGAAGUGCUUUCCGCGCUGGACCGUGUAUAAGUCUCUUGGAACAGAGCGUCAUAGAGGGUGAGAAUCCCGUCUUUGACACGGACUACCAGUGCUUUGUGAUGCGCUCUCAAAGAGUCGCGUUGUUUGGGAAUGCAGCGCAAAAUGGGUGGUGAAUUCCAUCUAAAGCUAAAUAUUGGCGAGAGACCGAUAGCGAACAAGUACCGUGAGGGAAAGAUGAAAAGCACUUUGGAAAGAGAGUUAAACAGUACGUGAAAUUGCUGAAAGGGAAACGCUUGAAGUCAGUCGCGUUGUCCGGGACUCAGCCUUGCUUCGGCUUGGUGCACUUUCCGGAUGACGGGCCAGCAUCGAUUUUGACCGCUGGAAAAGGGCUGGAGGAAUGUGGCACCUUCGGGCGUGUUAUAGCCUCCAGUCGCAUACGGCGGUUGGGAUCGAGGAACGCAGCACGCCUUACGGCGGGGGUUCGCCCACCUUCGUGCUUAGGAUGCUGGCAUAAUGGCUUUAAACGACCCGUCUUGAAACACGGACCAAG
Molecule: ribosomal RNA, 631 nt
Filed under: Trametes sanguinea
Lineage: Eukaryota; Fungi; Basidiomycota; Agaricomycetes; Polyporales; Polyporaceae
Description: partial large subunit ribosomal RNA
Rfam family: Eukaryotic large subunit ribosomal RNA
Source: RNAcentral